Molecule: ribosomal RNA, 253 nt
Filed under: uncultured bacterium
Lineage: Bacteria
Description: partial 16S ribosomal RNA
Rfam family: Bacterial small subunit ribosomal RNA
Source: RNAcentral
UACGAAGGGGGCUAGCGUUGCUCGGAAUCACUGGGCGUAAAGGGUGCGUAGGCGGGUCUUUAAGUCAAGGGUGAAAUCCUGGAGCUCAACUCCAGAACUGCCUUUGAUACUGAGAAGCUUGAGUCCGGGAGAGGUGAGUGGAACUGCGAGUGUAGAGGUGAAAUUCGUAGAUAUUCGCAAGAACACCAGUGGCGAAGGCGGCUCACUGGCCCGGUACUGACGCUGAGGUGCGAAAGCGUGGGGAGCAAACAGG